AGUGAACGCUGGCGGUAGGCCUAACACAUGCAAGUCGAACGGCAGCACAGUAAGAGCUUGCUCUUACGGGUGGCGAGUGGCGGACGGGUGAGGAAUACAUCGGAAUCUACUUUUUCGUGGGGGAUAACGUAGGGAAACUUACGCUAAUACCGCAUACGACCUACGGGUGAAAGCAGGGGAUCUUCGGACCUUGCGCGAUUGAAUGAGCCGAUGUCGGAUUAGCUAGUUGGCGGGGUAAAGGCCCACCAAGGCGACGAUCCGUAGCUGGUCUGAGAGGAUGAUCAGGCACACUGGAACUGAGACACGGUCCAGACUCCUACGGGAGGCAGCAGUGGGGAAUAUUGGACAAUGGGCGCAAGCCUGAUCCGGCCAUACCGCGUGGGUGAAGAAGGCCUUCGGGUUGUAAAGCCCUUUUGUUGGGAAAGAAAAGCAGCAGGUUAAUACCCCGCUGUUCUGACGGUACCCAAAGAAUAAGCACCGGCUAACUUCGUG
RNAcentral lists this ribosomal RNA (492 nucleotides) under uncultured bacterium. RNAcentral describes it as "partial 16S ribosomal RNA". It matches the Rfam family "Bacterial small subunit ribosomal RNA", at positions 29 to 507 of the family's 1533-position model. The record is from RNAcentral.